This 74-nucleotide transfer RNA is filed under the name Myxococcota bacterium. RNAcentral's name for it is "tRNA-Arg". It matches the Rfam family "tRNA". Rfam says of the family: Transfer RNA (tRNA) molecules are approximately 80 nucleotides in length. Their secondary structure includes four short double-helical elements and three loops (D, anti-codon, and T loops). The record is from RNAcentral. Lineage: Bacteria; Pseudomonadati; Myxococcota.
GCCCCUGUAGCUCAGUUGGAUAGAGCAGCGGUUUCCUAAACCGUUGGUCGCCUGUUCGAGUCAGGCUAGGGGCA